This 800-nucleotide ribosomal RNA is filed under the name uncultured Lobosea. RNAcentral describes it as "bacterial SSU rRNA". It matches the Rfam family "Eukaryotic small subunit ribosomal RNA", at positions 50 to 764 of the family's 1831-position model. Lineage: Eukaryota; Tubulinea. The record is from RNAcentral.
CAUGCAUGUCUAAGUAUAAGCACUUGUACUGUGAAACUGCGAAUGGCUCAUUAUAUCAGUUAUAAUUUAUUUGAUGGUCAUUUACUUGGAUAACCGUGGUAAAUCUAGAGCUAAUACAUGCAUAAAAUCCUGACUGGGAACGGAAAGGAUGUAUUUAUUAGAUACAAAAACCGAUGCACUAGGCUUUCGGGUCUAGUGGAAAACAAUGGUGAUUCAUGAUAACUUUACGAAUCGUGUGGUCUUGCACCGACGAUAGUUCAUUCAAAUUUCUGCCCUAUCAACUUUCGAUGGUAGUAUAGAGGACUACCAUGGUGGUAACGGGUAACGGAGAAUCAGGGUUUGAUUCCGGAGAAGGAGCCUGAGAAACGGCUACUACUUCCAAGGAAGGCAGCAGGCGCGCAAAUUACCCAAUCCCGACACGGGGAGGUAGUGACAAAAAAUAACAAUACCGGUCUUAUAUAAGUCUGGUAAUUGGAAUGAGUACAAUCUAAACCCCUUAACGAGUAUCAAUUGGAGGGCAAGUCUGGUGCCAGCAGCCGCGGUAAUUCCAGCUCCAAUAGCAUAUAUUAAAGUUGUUGCAGUUAAAAAGCUCGUAGUUGGAUUUUAGAGUUUAUUGGUAGAGUCCGCUUGAAUAAGUGUGUAUUUUAUCAAUAGCUCUCCUUACUAGAUAUUCACGAUUGUUCUUAAUUGAGCAGUUGGUCUUAUUCGCAAGAGUAAGGUGCUUAGUGGGUCUGGGGGUUGAGAUGUGGUUUUUUUACGAGGCAACUUGUAGAGAAAUCUGCUUGAUUCACUUCCAUUAA